Molecule: small RNA, 973 nt
Filed under: Pongo abelii (Sumatran orangutan)
Lineage: Eukaryota; Metazoa; Chordata; Mammalia; Primates; Hominidae
Description: retained intron
Source: RNAcentral
GAUUCCGGGGAGAGUGAAGAAGCAGAGGAAGAAGUGGGUGAGGGGACGCCGCAGAGCAGCGCCCUGACAGAGGGCGACUAUGUGCCCGACUCCCCCGCCCUGUCGCCCAUCGAGCUCAAGCAGGAGCUGCCCAAGUACCUGCCGGCCCUGCAGGGCUGCCGGAGUGUCGAGGAGUUUCAGUGCCUGAACAGGAUCGAGGAGGGCACCUAUGGAGUGGUCUACAGAGCAAAAGACAAGAAAACAGAUGAAAUUGUGGCUCUAAAGCGGCUGAAGAUGGAGAAGGAGAAGGAGGGCUUCCCGAUCACGUCACUGAGGGAGAUCAACACCAUCCUCAAGGCCCAGCAUCCCAACAUCGUCACCGUUAGAGAGAUCGUGGUGGGCAGCAACAUGGACAAGAUCUACAUCGUGAUGAACUACGUGGAGCACGACCUCAAGAGCCUCAUGGAGACUAUGAAACAGCCCUUCCUGCCAGGUACAGCCGCGCCCCGGGGGCCUCUCUGCGCACAAGUGGGGGCAGUGUCCUGGUCACCCCCGCGGUGACACUGCUGCAGGGAGGGCCAGCUGCAUCCGCAGGGAAAGCCCUGAGAAGCCUCUGUUGCUGCCGAGGCGAGUGGGCCACCCUGAGUGCCCUGGGCUGGGGGCGGCCGGGUCCACAUGGGAGCCUCCCUCCCUCCCAGGGGAGGUGAAGACCCUGAUGAUCCAGCUGCUGCGGGGGGUGAAGCACCUGCACGACAACUGGAUCCUGCACCGUGACCUCAAGACGUCCAACCUGCUGCUGAGCCACGCCGGCAUCCUCAAGGUGAGCCCCCCUCCGAGUGGCCCACCCCAGGGUGACCUGCGCGGGCCCACCCACAGCCGCCCAUCUGUCAUUGCAGGUGGGUGACUUCGGGCUGGCACGGGAGUACGGAUCCCCUCUGAAGGCCUACACCCCGGUCGUGGUGACCCUGUGGUACCGUGCCCCAGAGCUGCUGCU